AGUGAACGCUGGCGGUAGGCCUAACACAUGCAAGUCGAACGGCAGCACAGUAAGAGCUUGCUCUUACGGGUGGCGAGUGGCGGACGGGUGAGGAAUACAUCGGAAUCUACUUUUUCGUGGGGGAUAACGUAGGGAAACUUACGCUAAUACCGCAUACGACCUACAGGUGAAAGCAGGGGAUCUUCGGACCUUGCGCGAUUGAAUGAGCCGAUGUCGGAUUAGCUAGUUGGCGGGGUAAAGGCCCACCAAGGCGACGAUCCGUAGCUGGUCUGAGAGGAUGAUCAGCCACACUGGAACUGAGACACGGUCCAGACUCGUACGGGAGGCAGCAGUGGGGAAUAUUGGACAAUGGGCGCAAGCCUGAUCCAGCCAUACCGCGUGGGUGAAGAAGGCCUUCGGGUUGUAAAGCCCUUUUGUUGGGAAAGAAAAGCAGCAGGUUAAUACCCCGCUGUUCUGACGGUACCCAAAGAAUAAGCACCGGCUAACUUCGUG
Molecule: ribosomal RNA, 492 nt
Filed under: uncultured bacterium
Lineage: Bacteria
Description: partial 16S ribosomal RNA
Rfam family: Bacterial small subunit ribosomal RNA
Source: RNAcentral